Long non-coding RNA from Manduca sexta (tobacco hornworm), 437 nucleotides. RefSeq lists it as uncharacterized. The record is from RefSeq and is a predicted model, not a curated record. The transcript is spliced from 3 exons. Lineage: Eukaryota; Metazoa; Arthropoda; Insecta; Lepidoptera; Sphingidae.
UUGCGCAAAUACCAACCAGCUGUCAAAUUUGUAUGGUACUUGUCAAAAAAAUUAUCAAGGAAAUCGGCGAAAUUUAAGUUUAUCAUAUAAAAUAAAUUAUAAGUUCUCGUGUCUACAAAGGAUACAAAGUAAAGAAACGGAAUAAUAAACAAAAAUACUUUUUAUUUUCGAUGCCGGAACUUGUAUUUAGUUUUAUUAGCGUGCUUGUACACAUCGUUCUUUGUACAAUAAGUCAGACUUAUCCUUUCCUUUUGAGUUUCGCAUCGAUAAGUGAAGAGGGGUAAAUAAAAAUCUCAAUGAAUAACAACCUGGCAAAGAUGAUAACGGAGCAACUACGGAAUCCAAACGAGCUGGACAUAAGCCUAAGAAUGGAGUUUGGACCAUUUGAAACAGUACAUAAAUGGAAAAGAAUGUCGGAGUGUUACGAGUUUGUUGGG